UACAGAGGGUGCGAGCGUUAAUCGGAGUUACUGGGCGUAAAGGGCGCGUAGGCGGUUAAUUGGGUAAGAUGUGAAAUCCCUGAGCUUAACUUAGGAAGUGCAUCUUAAACUACUUGACUAGAAUACAGUAGAGGGUAGCGGAAUUUCCGGUGUAGCGGUGAAAUGCGUAGAGAUCGGAAGGAACGUCAGUGGCGAAGGUGGCUACCUGGACUGAUAUUGACGCUGAGGCGCGAAAGCGUGGGGAGCAAACAGG
RNAcentral lists this ribosomal RNA (253 nucleotides) under uncultured bacterium. RNAcentral's name for it is "partial 16S ribosomal RNA". It matches the Rfam family "Bacterial small subunit ribosomal RNA", at positions 524 to 776 of the family's 1533-position model. The record is from RNAcentral.